GCCGGCCCCGGCGCGCUUGGCGGCGCGAUCGUCUAUGAAACCGUCGAUGUCGACGACGUUCUGGCGCCGGGCCGGUC
Molecule: transfer RNA, 77 nt
Filed under: Tistrella bauzanensis
Lineage: Bacteria; Pseudomonadati; Pseudomonadota; Alphaproteobacteria; Geminicoccales; Geminicoccaceae
Description: tRNA-His
Source: RNAcentral